This 608-nucleotide ribosomal RNA is filed under the name Saccharomyces cerevisiae (brewer's yeast). Its description in RNAcentral is "eukaryotic LSU rRNA". It matches the Rfam family "Eukaryotic large subunit ribosomal RNA", at positions 37 to 659 of the family's 3401-position model. The record is from RNAcentral. Lineage: Eukaryota; Fungi; Ascomycota; Saccharomycetes; Saccharomycetales; Saccharomycetaceae.
UGCAUAUUCCAUAGCGGAGGAAAAGAAACCAACCGGGAUUGCCUUAGUAACGGCGAGUGAAGCGGCAAAAGCUCAAAUUUGAAAUCUGGUACCUUCGGUGCCCGAGUUGUAAUUUGGAGAGGGCAACUUUGGGGCCGUUCCUUGUCUAUGUUCCUUGGAACAGGACGUCAUAGAGGGUGAGAAUCCCGUGUGGCGAGGAGUGCGGUUCUUUGUAAAGUGCCUUCGAAGAGUCGAGUUGUUUGGGAAUGCAGCUCUAAGUGGGUGGUAAAUUCCAUCUAAAGCUAAAUAUUGGCGAGAGACCGAUAGCGAACAAGUACAGUGAUGGAAAGAUGAAAAGAACUUUGAAAAGAGAGUGAAAAAGUACGUGAAAUUGUUGAAAGGGAAGGGCAUUUGAUCAGACAUGGUGUUUUGUGCCCUCUGCUCCUUGUGGGUAGGGGAAUCUCGCAUUUCACUGGGCCAGCAUCAGUUUUGGUGGCAGGAUAAAUCCAUAGGAAUGUAGCUUGCCUCGGUAAGUAUUAUAGCCUGUGGGAAUACUGCCAGCUGGGACUGAGGACUGCGACGUAAGUCAAGGAUGCUGGCAUAAUGGUUAUAUGCCGCCCGUCUUGAAC